RNAcentral lists this ribosomal RNA (484 nucleotides) under uncultured bacterium. Its description in RNAcentral is "partial 16S ribosomal RNA". It matches the Rfam family "Bacterial small subunit ribosomal RNA", at positions 30 to 507 of the family's 1533-position model. The record is from RNAcentral.
AUUGAACGCUGGCGGCAGGCCUAACACAUGCAAGUCGAGCGGAUGAAGGGAGCUUGCUCCUGGAUUCAGUGGCGGACGGGUGAGUAAUGCCUAGGAAUCUGCCUGGUAGUGGGGGAUAACGUCCGUAAACGGGCGCUAAUACCGCAUACGUCCUGAUGGAGAAAGUGGGGGUUCUUUGGACCUCACGCUAUCAGAUGAGCCUAGGUCGGAUUAGCUAGUUGGUUGGGUAAAGGCCGACCAAGGCGACGAUCCGUAACUGGUCUGAGAGGAUGAUCAGUCACACUGGAACUGAGACACGGUCCAGACUCCUACGGGAGGCAGCAGUGGGGAAUCUUGGACAAUGGGCGAAAGCCUGAUCCAGCCAUGCCGCGUGUGUGAAGAAGGUCUUCGGAUUGUAAAGCACUUUUAGUUGGGAGGAAGGGCAGUAUAUUAAUACCUUGCUGUUUUGACGGUACCAACAGAAUAAGCACCGGCUAACUUCGUG